This 492-nucleotide ribosomal RNA is filed under the name uncultured bacterium. Its description in RNAcentral is "partial 16S ribosomal RNA". It matches the Rfam family "Bacterial small subunit ribosomal RNA", at positions 29 to 507 of the family's 1533-position model. The record is from RNAcentral.
AGUGAACGCUGGCGGUAGGCCUAACACAUGCAAGUCGAACGGCAGCACAGUAAGAGCUUGCUCUUACGGGUGGCGAGUGGCGGACGGGCGAGGAAUACAUCGGAAUCUACUUUUUCGUGGGGGAUAACGUAGGGAAACUUACGCUAAUACCGCAUACGACCUACGGGUGAAAGCAGGGGAUCUUCGGACCUUGCGCGAUUGAAUGAGCCGAUGUCGGAUUAGCUAGUUGGCGGGGUAAAGGCCCACCAAGGCGACGAUCCGUAGCUGGUCUGAGAGGAUGAUCAGCCACUCUGGAACUGAGACACGGUCCAGACUCCUACGGGAGGCAGCAGUGGGGAAUAUUGGACAAUGGGCGCAAGCCUGAUCCAGCCAUACCGCGUGGGUGAAGAAGGCCUUCGGGUUGUAAAGCCCUUUUGUUGGGAAAGAAAAGCAGCAGGUUAAUACCCCGCUGUUCUGACGGUACCCAAAGAAUAAGCACCGGCUAACUUCGUG